ACCUCGGAAACUUAUACGACAGCAUGAGCAUUCCUUGAAUCACACUUUAACAGUUCGUACCGCGGUCUUCUUCACCUCAAAUCAUUCCAAGUAAUUUCCACUUCUUUUCAGAAUAACACUAGUCUAUAAUCACAUCAUUUUUCUCUUCAAAAGAGUUAAUAUUUUUGCAAAAGGUAUAGAUUAUAUUCAGUUUUCACCACAAUACAAAAUCAAACCAUGC
Paramuricea clavata is the source of this 220-nucleotide non-coding RNA. The record is from the annotation of a GenBank genome assembly. NCBI's taxonomy places the organism in Eukaryota, Metazoa, Cnidaria, Anthozoa, Malacalcyonacea, Plexauridae.